GUAGGUGAACCUGCGGAAGGAUCAUUAUUGAAAUAAACCUGAUAAGUUGCUGCUGGUUCUCUAGGGUGCAUGUGCACACUUGUCAUCUUUGUAUCUUCACCUGUGCAUCUUUUGUAGACCUGAGAACCUCUCUGAAUGCUUUUAGCACUCAGGAUUGAGGAUUGACUUGAUGUCUUUUCUUACAUUUUCAGGCCUAUGUUUUUCAUAUACCCUAAUGUAUGUUUAUAGAAUGUAAUGAAUGGGCCUUUGUGCCUAUAAACAUUUACAACUUUCAGCAACGGAUCUCUUGGCUCUC
RNAcentral lists this unclassified non-coding RNA (295 nucleotides) under rhizosphere metagenome. Its description in RNAcentral is "partial ribosomal RNA internal transcribed spacer region". The record is from RNAcentral.